GCAGUAUAACAGAUUCUAUUUGCUAGAAAUAAUAACACAAAAAGUAUUUAAACAGUUCUCAGCUUCAACAUUGUACUGUAGUCAUAUGAUCCGAUCACCGUAUAACAAUUGUAUAAUUAAUUGAAAGUGCUCCUCUGCCUUCUGGUGACGCCUCCCGCCUCCCAGCAUGUAAAUACUAUUGGGACGAAAUGGGUGAUUCGAUGGAUUCCAUUCAAAAUGCGCUAAACAAUUCUACACACCGUUUAAUUAACACUCAUCAAUUGGAGGAGCUUCAACGUAGAAUCGGAAACGCCGGGGGGGAUUACACGAACCAGUUUUGAAUGGACACCAAUGUGAAUUUCAAAAGCGUAUUCGACGGGAGUUUAGCACUGAUUUUUGGCAGUUACCAGUUAUUGGAUACUUGACCUUGACCAGUUGUUGAACUGAAUGACUAAAUGUAUUUGAAUAAAUGAGAGUAUGUGAAUUAGAGUGCAUUCUGGAACAAUAUUAUUAAGUCAGAAACAAUUGGUCAAUGGUGCAGAAUCAGCUAUUUAUGAUUAUUAGUAUAUUAUAAUAUAUUAUAAUAGAUAU
Long non-coding RNA from Drosophila innubila, 570 nucleotides. RefSeq lists it as uncharacterized. The transcript has 2 exons. Lineage: Eukaryota; Metazoa; Arthropoda; Insecta; Diptera; Drosophilidae. The record is from RefSeq and is a predicted model, not a curated record.